UGAGCCAAGUUUAGGGUUUUCUCAAAACCCAAGCAGUAUUGAACUGAAGAGUUUGAUCAUGGCUCAGAUUGAACGCUGGCGGCAGGCCUAACACAUGCAAGUCGAGCGGAUGAAGGGAGCUUGCUCCUGGAUUCA
RNAcentral lists this ribosomal RNA (135 nucleotides) under Pseudomonas aeruginosa. RNAcentral's name for it is "partial 16S ribosomal RNA". The stretch from base 41 to 135 matches the Rfam family "Bacterial small subunit ribosomal RNA", at positions 1 to 94 of the family's 1533-position model. Lineage: Bacteria; Pseudomonadati; Pseudomonadota; Gammaproteobacteria; Pseudomonadales; Pseudomonadaceae. The record is from RNAcentral.